GAUCAAGCGUAAAGGGCGCGGGGUGGAUGCCUGGGCACAGGACGGCGAAGAAGGACGUGGCAAGCUGCGAAAAGCCACGGGGAGCUGCAAGCGAGCGUUGAUCCGUGGGUGUCCGA
RNAcentral lists this ribosomal RNA (116 nucleotides) under Candidatus Palauibacterales bacterium. Its description in RNAcentral is "partial 23S ribosomal RNA". It matches the Rfam family "Bacterial large subunit ribosomal RNA", at positions 1 to 117 of the family's 2925-position model. Lineage: Bacteria; Pseudomonadati; Gemmatimonadota; Gemmatimonadia; Candidatus Palauibacterales. The record is from RNAcentral.